RNAcentral lists this ribosomal RNA (546 nucleotides) under uncultured Glomus. RNAcentral's name for it is "SSU rRNA". It matches the Rfam family "Eukaryotic small subunit ribosomal RNA", at positions 548 to 1098 of the family's 1831-position model. The record is from RNAcentral. Lineage: Eukaryota; Fungi; Glomeromycota; Glomeromycetes; Glomerales; Glomeraceae.
UUGGAGGGCAAGUCUGGUGCCAGCAGCCGCGGUAAUUCCAGCUCCAAUAGCGUAUAUUAAAGUUGUUGCAGUUAAAAAGCUCGUAGUUGAAUUUCGGGAUUAGUACGUUGGUCGUGCCUUCGGUACGUACUGGUGUUACUGAUUCCUACCUUCUGACGAACCAUCAUGUCAUUAAUUUGGUGUGGUGGGGAAUCAGGACUGUUACUUUGAAAAAAUUAGAGUGUUUAAAGCAGGCUCGCGCUUGAAUACAUUAGCAUGGAAUAAUGAAAUAGGACGUUGACCCUAUUUUGUUGGUUUCUAGGAUUGGCGUAAUGAUUAAUAGGGAUAGUUGGGGGCAUUAGUAUUCAAUUGUCAGAGGUGAAAUUCUUGGAUUUAUUGAAGACUAACUACUGCGAAAGCAUUUGCCAAGGAUGUUUUCAUUAAUCAAGAACGAAAGUUAGGGGAUCGAAGACGAUCAGAUACCGUCGUAGUCUUAACCAUAAACUAUGCCGACUAGGGAUCGGAUGAUGUUAUUUUUAAUGACUCAUUCGGCGCCUUACGGGAAAC